Molecule: ribosomal RNA, 465 nt
Filed under: uncultured bacterium
Lineage: Bacteria
Description: partial 16S ribosomal RNA
Rfam family: Bacterial small subunit ribosomal RNA
Source: RNAcentral
GACGAACGCUGGCGGCGUGCUUAACACAUGCAAGUCGAACGGAAAGGCCCUUUUGGGGGUACUCGAGUGGCGAACGGGCGGGUAACACGUACGUAACCUGCCCUUGCCUUCGGGUGAACUUCCUUAAACUGGGGCUAAUACCGGCUAGGUAUCCUUACUGCAUGGUGGGGGUUGGUAAGAUUCGGCGGUUUUGGGUGGACUCGCUGGUUAUCAGCUUGUUGGUGGGGUGGUGGCUUACCAACGCUUUGACGGGUAGCCGGCCUGGGGGGGCGACCGGCCACAUUGGGAAUGAGAAUCGGCCCAGACUCCUACGGGGAGCAAGAGGGGGGAAUAUUGCACAAUGGGCGGGAGCCUGAAGCAGGAACGCCGCGGGCGGGAUGACGGGCUUCGGGGUGGAAACCGGCUUCAGCAGGGGCGAAGCUUGUGGUGACGGUACCUGCAGAAGAAGCACCGGCUAACUACGUG